CGGAGGAUGCAAGCGUUAUCCGGAUUUAUUGGGUUUAAAGGGUGCGUAGGCGGAUGAAUAAGUCAGUGGUGAAAGCCUGCAGCUUAACUGUAGAAUUGCCAUUGAUACUGUUUAUCUUGAGUACAGCUGAGGUGGGCGGAAUAUGACAUGUAGCGGUGAAAUGCUUAGAUAUGUCAUAGAACACCGAUUGCGAAGGCAGCUCACUAAACUGUCACUGACGCUGAGGCACGAAAGCGUGGGGAGCAAACAGGAUUAGAUACCCUGGUAGUCCACGCCCUAAACUACGAUCACUCGAUGUUGGCGAUACACUGUCAGCGUCUAAGGGAAACCAUUAAGUGAUCCACCUGGGGAGUACGGUCGCAAGACUGA
RNAcentral lists this ribosomal RNA (369 nucleotides) under uncultured organism. RNAcentral's name for it is "bacterial SSU rRNA". It matches the Rfam family "Bacterial small subunit ribosomal RNA", at positions 526 to 897 of the family's 1533-position model. The record is from RNAcentral.